UGCCAGCAGCCGCGGUAAUACGUAGGGUGCGAGCGUUAAUCGGAAUUACUGGGCGUAAAGCGCAUGCAGGCGGUUGAUUAAGCGAGAUGUGAAAGCCCCGGGCUUAACCUGGGAACUGCAUUUCGAACUGGUCAACUAGAGUCUUGUAGAGGGGGGUAGAAUUUCAGGUGUAGCGGUGAAAUGCGUAGAGAUCUGAAGGAAUACCAGUGGCGAAGGCGGCCCACUGGACAAAGACUGGCGCUCAGAUCCGAAGGCUUGGGAAGCAAACAGGAUUAGAAA
RNAcentral lists this ribosomal RNA (279 nucleotides) under uncultured bacterium. Its description in RNAcentral is "partial 16S ribosomal RNA". It matches the Rfam family "Bacterial small subunit ribosomal RNA", at positions 506 to 784 of the family's 1533-position model. The record is from RNAcentral.